This is a long non-coding RNA of Pistacia vera, 411 nucleotides long. RefSeq lists it as uncharacterized. The transcript is spliced from 2 exons. The record is from RefSeq and is a predicted model, not a curated record. Lineage: Eukaryota; Viridiplantae; Streptophyta; Magnoliopsida; Sapindales; Anacardiaceae.
UGGUGGAUAAUCUACUAAAUCACAUGAUAUGUUGUGCAUAUUCGAUUUCAUUAAAUAUGCUAAAGAUUUUCUUCUUUUUUCCUUUUGUUUCACCAGGGUUUACUAGAACCCAGCCUCCAGGCUUUGAGACUUGAUGGAAAUCCACUGAGAAGCAUCCAGAGGACGAUUUUGGACAGAGGCACCAAAGCGGUUCUCAAAUAUUUGAAGGACAAACUUCCAGAGCAAUAAUCUGAUCAUCUUUCUCUUCACUUCGUUUGGUUGGGUCAACAUUUGUAUUUUAUACGUUUUCUGAUUGAAACUUUAAUUUGAAACAGAUCAUAUGCUUGUUCCACUUGAGUGUUAAAGGUUUGUAACGAGUAAAAGAGGAAUUCUAUCAUUCUGGUUUUCAAUGACAUACACUCAUUGGUUUUA